ACGGUUUCGGCUGUCACUUACAGAUGGACCCGCGGCGCAUUAGCUAGUUGGUGGGGUAAUGGCUCACCAAGGCGACGAUGCGUAGCCGACCUGAGAGGGUGAUCGGCCACACUGGGACUGAGACACGGCCCAGACUCCUACGGGAGGCAGCAGUAGGGAAUCUUCCGCAAUGGACGAAAGUCUGACGGAGCAACGCCGCGUGAGUGAUGAAGGUUUUCGGAUCGUAAAGCUCUGUUGUUAGGGAAGAACAAGUGCGAGAGUAACUGCUCGCACCUUGACGGUACCUAACCAGAAAGCCACGGCUAACUACGUGCCAGCAGCCGCGGUAAUACGUAGGUGGCAAGCGUUGUCCGGAAUUAUUGGGCGUAAAGGGCUCGCAGGCGGUUUCUUAAGUCUGAUGUGAAAGCCCCCGGCUCAACCGGGGAGGGUCAUUGGAAACUGGGAAACUUGAGUGCAGAAGAGGAGAGUGGAAUUCCACGUGUAGCGGUGAAAUGCGUNGNGNGGNGGNGGAANANNAGUGGGCGNAGGCGACUCUCUGGUCUGUAACUGACGCUGAGGAGCGAAAGCGUGGGGAGCGUAUUUAGGAUUAGAUACCCUGGUAGUCCACGCCGUAAACGAUGAGUGCUAAGUGUUAGGGGGUUUCCGCCCCUUAGUGCUGCAGCUAACGCAUUAAGCACUCCGCCUGGGGAGUACGGUCGCAAGACUGAAACUCAAAGGAAUUGACGGGGGCCCGCACAAGCGGUGGAGCAUGUGGUUUAAUUCGAAGCAACGCGAAGAACCUUACCAGGUCUUGACAUCCUCUGACAACCCUAGAGAUAGGGCUUUCCCUUCGGGGACAGAGUGACAGGUGGUGCAUGGUUGUCGUCAGCUCGUGUCGUGAGAUGUUGGGUUAAGUCCCGCAACGAGCGCAACCCUUGAUCUUAGUUGCCAGCAUUCAGUUGGGCACUCUAAGGUGACUGCCGGUGACAAACCGGAGGAAGGUGGGGAUGACGUCAAAUCAUCAUGCCCCUUAUGACCUGGGCUACACACGUGCUACAAUGGACAGAACAAAAGGGCUGCAAGACCGCAAGGUUUUAGCCAAUCCCAUAAAUCUGUUCUCAGUUUCGGAUCGCAGUCUGCAACUCGACUGCGUGAAGCUGGAAAUCGCUAGUAAUCGCGGAUCAGCAUGCCGCGGUGAAAUACGUUCCCGGGCCUUGUACACACCGCCCGUCAACACCACGAGAGUUUGCAACACCCGAAGUCGGUGAGGUAACCUUUUAUGGAGCCCAGCCGCCGAAGGUGGGGGCAGAUUGAUUGGGGUGAAGUCUUAACAAGGUAACCCAUA
This 1324-nucleotide ribosomal RNA is filed under the name uncultured Bacillus sp. Its description in RNAcentral is "bacterial SSU rRNA". It matches the Rfam family "Bacterial small subunit ribosomal RNA", at positions 207 to 1505 of the family's 1533-position model. The record is from RNAcentral. Lineage: Bacteria; Bacillati; Bacillota; Bacilli; Caryophanales; Bacillaceae.